GUGUGUAUGUGUCAGGUAAGGUACAUGGGGGAGGUGUGACUGUGUGUUAGUGUGUAUGUGUCAGGUAAGGUACAUGGGGGAGGUGUGACUCUGUGUUAGUGUGUAUGUGACAGGUAAGGUACAUGGGGGAGGUGUGACUGUGUGUUAGUGUGUAUGUGUCAGGUAAGGUACAUGGGGGAGGUGUGACUCUGUGUUAGUGUGUAUGUGACAGGUAAGGUACAUGGGGGAGGUGUGACUGUGUGUUAGUGUGUAUGUGUCAGGUAAGGUACAUGGGGGAGGUGUGACUCUGUGUUAGUGUGUAUGUGACAGGUAAGGUACAUGGGGGAGGUGUGACUGUGUGUUAGUGUGUAUGUGUCAGGUAAGGUACAUGGGGGAGGUGUGACUCUGUGUUAGUGUGUAUGUGUCAGGUAAGGUACAUGGGGGAGGUGUGACUGUGUGUUAGUGUGUAUGUGUCAGGUAAGGUACAUGGGGGAGGUGUGACUGUGUGUUAGUGUGUAUGUGACAGGUAAGGUACAUGGGGGAGGUGUGACUGUGUGUUAGUGUGUAUGUGUCAGGUAAGGUACAUGGGGGAGGUGUGACUGUGUGUUAGUGUGUAUGUGUCAGGUAAGGUACAUGGGGGAGGUGUGACUCUGUGUUAGUGUGUAUGUGUCAGGUAAGGUACAUGGGGGAGGUGUGACUGUGUGUUAGUGUGUAUGUGACAGGUAAGGUACAUGGGGGAGGUGUGACUGUGUGUUAGUGUGUAUGUGUCAGGUAAGGUACAUGGGGGAGGUGUGACUGUGUGUUAGUGUGUAUGUGUCAGGUAAGGUACAUGGGGGAGGUGUGACUCUGUGUUAGUGUGUAUGUGACAGGUAAGGUACAUGGGGGAGGUGUGACUGUGUGUUAGUGUGUAUGUGUCAGGUAAGGUACAUGGGGGAGGUGUGACUCUGUGUUAGUGUGUAUGUGACAGGUAAGGUACAUGGGGGAGGUGUGACUCUGUGUUAGUGUGUAUG
Long non-coding RNA from Oncorhynchus keta (chum salmon), 989 nucleotides. RefSeq lists it as uncharacterized. NCBI's taxonomy places the organism in Eukaryota, Metazoa, Chordata, Actinopteri, Salmoniformes, Salmonidae. The record is from RefSeq and is a predicted model, not a curated record. The transcript has 6 exons.